UAGUCCACACCGUAAACGAUGAAUGCCAGUCGUCGGGCAGUAUACUGUUCGGUGACACACCUAACGGAUUAAGCAUUCCGCCUGGGGAGUACGGUCGCAAGAUUAAAACUCAAAGGAAUUGACGGGGGCCCGUACAAGCGGUGGAGCAUGUGGUUUAAUUCGAUGCAACGCGAAGAACCUUACCAGGGUUAGACAUGUUUGUGAUUUUCUUCGAAAAAGACAUCUCUUUUAGAGCACAUACAACGGUGGUGCAUGGCUGUCGUCAGCUCGUGUCGUGAGAUGUUGGGUUAAGUCCCGCAACGGAGCGCAACCCUUGUCUUUAGUUGCCAUCAUUAAGUUGGGCACUUUUAAAGAGACUGCCGGUGACAAACCGGNGGAAGGUAAGGAUGACGUCAAGUCAGCAUGCCCCUUAUGCUCUGGGCUACACACGUGCUGCAAUGGCCGUGACAAAGAGUUGCUACUUUGUGAAAACAAGCUAAUCUCAUAAACGCGGCCUCAGUUCGGAUUUGCAGG
RNAcentral lists this ribosomal RNA (513 nucleotides) under uncultured bacterium. Its description in RNAcentral is "bacterial SSU rRNA". It matches the Rfam family "Bacterial small subunit ribosomal RNA", at positions 791 to 1304 of the family's 1533-position model. The record is from RNAcentral.